This is a non-coding RNA of Phoenix dactylifera (date palm), 1468 nucleotides long. Lineage: Eukaryota; Viridiplantae; Streptophyta; Magnoliopsida; Arecales; Arecaceae. The record is from RefSeq and is a predicted model, not a curated record.
UGGUCCUUGGACCUUGAUCGAAAACGAAAAACCAAAACCCCCCCGGGUACAUCGAUUAUUACAUGCGGGGCCAAAAGUUCCGACCUGGAACCCUCCGGGCAUGUCCCGUUGGGGUCUUGCGUAUCCUACGGCUACGGUUAUUAGGAUGUCCGCUGCCCACACAAGAAAUCAUCCUGCCCGUUCGCUUUUUUUUUUUUUUUUUCUUCUUUUGGAAGCUCCGGUGGGAAUGCCUUCCCGGCGGCCAAUCGGCGACCGCGAUCCAAAGGUCCUUUUCCUUCUCCAGUUCUCCUCUCUUUCCUUCUCCUCCCUCCACCCCGCACCUUCUCUCCGAAACCCUAAUAAGAUUUUUGAUGUAAGAAACCCUAUUAAGUGGAAACCAUCGAUUCUUGUUCUCCCUUCUCUCCGUUUCUUUCCUCCUCCGGUGGAAUCGCUGGCUUGCGAUUCUUAGGCGCUGGCGCGAGAAAACCCUAGCGGGGGGAUGUCCUCCGCCAUAGUUAUCGACUGCUCCACGGAUAAGGUCACGAUCAUGGCAGGAGAUAAGCGCUGGAUGGAUAAUCUCGACUGCCUGCCGCUGAUCAAGCGGUGGCGGUUGUUCCUCUCGAGCACGCCGUCCCCUUCGUCCCCAGAUCAUUGGAAGGAAACUUGUGUUUGUUUCUCUCAUUUCUCUUUUCGAUUUUUCUUUUUCACCUUGUAAUCUGGUUCUUGAUACCAUUAUGUUGCUUGGGUUAACCCAUCUAUGGCUAACCGCAGGCCUCCCAUAGACUUGGCUGUCAAGCUGGUCUCUCUGGGAGCUUCGCAGACAACAGGAUAUCGUGAGACCAGAGGUAAUGAGAAUAGAGCUCAUGCUGGUUGGUGAAAGCUUGAUAUCAUGAUAGUCGUUUCUACAGAAGAUUUAAAGAAAAGAAAUAUGAGAACCCAAGUUUUGUCAGAUGUUCAGCAGUCUGUGGAAGGCUUCUUAGCUGGUGGCAAGCUCCAUCAAAAGUGAUCCACCUGUGUGGUUGAAGCAAGAGGAACCAUAUCUUGUAUAUAUGAUGAUGCUCAAUCAAAUGCCAAAAUUUUGAAAAACAACUGGAAGGUUAUUCUUCCGUGAAGUUAUUGCUCAACUUUCCCAUCUUAGCUGCUAAUACGCUUCUGAUGACUGCAUGCUUAUUUUGCGACUCAUUUGAAGCUCACUCUGAAGGCUACUUGAAAAAAAUGCUCAUUCUGAAAAUCUCAAUCCUCAUGAUGUUCUGGAGGUACCACUUUGCUCAGUUCUGAUCGCAUUGAAAAUCUGAUUUUUCUUUCAAUUCUUUUAGUAUAAUACAUAUGCGAUUAUGAAAACAGUCACAUGAGUAGAACUCCUUUUAUUUUUCCAUAUUUAAUAAGGUAUCUAUAUGUUCUUCAGUUCUUCCACGUCAGAAUGUUCUUUAAUGUGAACAAAGACUAUAGUAAUUCAAUUUAUUAUGUACAGAAGGAAUCAACUUGUUCA